ACAACAAAAAUGUCUUCUUGUGGCACAAAAAAAUGUCCUAAUACAUAUCAUUAAAGAGGCACUUAUACUUUUUAGGGCAAAUAAAAUAUAUGUCGCAUAGUUGCGUGUUGCAUUAGCUUGUGAGGCACUUAUUAAUUGUCCCAAUAUAAUAUUGUUAUCAAGACACUAAUAUGCGUCCCAAUAGAGUGUUUUGAGACACUAUUAUACGCCUCGUAAGGAUAUUACUGAUUUUGCUA
Erythranthe guttata (spotted monkey flower) is the source of this 236-nucleotide non-coding RNA. NCBI's taxonomy places the organism in Eukaryota, Viridiplantae, Streptophyta, Magnoliopsida, Lamiales, Phrymaceae. The record is from RefSeq and is a predicted model, not a curated record.